Molecule: non-coding RNA, 73 nt
Organism: Parelaphostrongylus tenuis
Lineage: Eukaryota; Metazoa; Nematoda; Chromadorea; Rhabditida; Metastrongylidae
Source: the annotation of a GenBank genome assembly
AGUCCUGUGGUGCAGUGGUUAUCACGUCUGUUUUACACGCCCAAGACCGCCUGUUCGAUCCCGGCCAGGACCU